Molecule: ribosomal RNA, 525 nt
Filed under: Sonora cincta (Variable sandsnake)
Lineage: Eukaryota; Metazoa; Chordata; Lepidosauria; Squamata; Colubridae
Description: partial 16S ribosomal RNA
Rfam family: Bacterial large subunit ribosomal RNA
Source: RNAcentral
AAACAUAACCUUUAGCCAAACAAAUAUUAAAGGCAACGCCUGCCCAGUGAACAAUUAAACGGCCGCGGUACCCUAACCGUGCAAAGGUAGCAUAAUCAUUUGUCUACUAAUUAUAGACCUGUAUGAAAGGCAAAAUGAGGGCCAAACUGUCUCUUAUAAUAAGUCAAUUAAACUGAUCUCCUAGUAAAAAAGCUAGAAUUAAAACACAAGACCAGAAGACCCUGUGAAGCUUAAAACAAACUAUUAAAUCAAAUAAUAGCUACUUUCGGUUGGGGCGACCUUGGAAAAAAAAAGAACUUCCAAAGUAUAUCCACGUGGUAGGGAAUAUGCCAGGCCAACAAGCCACUAAAUGACCCAGCAAAGCUGAUAAAAGAACAAAGUUACUCCAGGGAUAACAGCGCAAUCUUCUUUAAGAGCCCAUAUCAAAAAGAAGGUUUACGACCUCGAUGUUGGAUCAGGACAUCCUAAUGGUGCAGCCGCUAUUAAGGGCUCGUUUGUUCAACGAUUAAUAGUCCCACGUGAUCU